AGUGAACGCUGGCGGUAGGCCUAACACAUGCAAGUCGAACGGCAGCACAGUAAGAGCUUGCUCUUACGGGUGGCGAGUGGCGGACGGGUGAGGAAUACAUCGGAAUCUACUUUUUCGUGGGGGAUAACGUAGGGAAACUUACGCUAAUACCGCAUACGACCUACGGGUGAAAGCAGGGGAUCUUCGGACCUUGCGCGAUUGAAUGAGCCGAUGUCGGAUUAGCUAGUUGGCGGGGUAAAGGCCCACCAAGGCGACGAUCCGUAGCUGGUCUGAGAGGAUGAGCGGCCAGACUGGGAGAGAGACACGGGCGAGAAUGCUACGGGAGCCAGCAGUGGGGAAGAUGGGAAAAUGGGCGCAGGCCUGAUACAGGAAGGCUGGGAGAGUGAAAAGGGGUUUCGGAUUGUAAUGCCGUUUUGUCGGGAAAGAAAAGAUGCAGGUUGAUACCCCGCGGUUGGGAAGGUGGCGAAAGAGAAAGAGCAGGUUAAAGACGUG
Molecule: ribosomal RNA, 492 nt
Filed under: uncultured bacterium
Lineage: Bacteria
Description: partial 16S ribosomal RNA
Rfam family: Bacterial small subunit ribosomal RNA
Source: RNAcentral